CCCCUAGAUGUUCUGGGCCGCACGCGCGCUACACUGAACAGUUCAACAAGUCUUAACCUUGGCCGAUAGGUCUGGGUAAUCUUUGAACGCUGUUCGUGAUUGGGAUAGACCUUUGCAAUUAUGGGUCUUCAACGAGGAAUUCCUAGUAAACGCAAGUCAUCAGCUUGCAUUGAUUACGUCCCUGCCCUUUGUACACACCGCCCGUCGCACCUACCGAUUGAAUGGUCCGGUGAAAUCUCGGGACGGCGGCUUGGUCGCUGGCGUCCGACUGCUGAAACUUGAUUAAACCAUAUCAUUUAGAGGAAGGUGAAGUCGUAACA
This 320-nucleotide ribosomal RNA is filed under the name uncultured eukaryote. RNAcentral describes it as "partial 18S ribosomal RNA". It matches the Rfam family "Eukaryotic small subunit ribosomal RNA", at positions 1470 to 1796 of the family's 1831-position model. The record is from RNAcentral.